AUUGAACGCUGGCGGCAGGCUUAACACAUGCAAGUCGAGCGGAGACUUCGGUCUUAGCGGCGAACGGGUGAGUAAUACCUAGGAAUCUGCCUAUUAGUGGGGGAUAACGAAUCGAAAGGUUCGCUAAUACCGCAUACGUCCUACGGGAGAAAGGGGGGAGUCUUCGGACCUCUCGCUAAUAGAUGAGCCUAGGCCGGAUUAGCUAGUUGGUAGGGUAAAGGCCUACCAAGGCGACGAUCUGUAGCUGGUCUGAGAGGAUGGCCAGCCACACUGGAACUGAGACACGGUCCAGACUCCUACGGGAGGCAGCAGUGGGGGAAUAUUGGACAAUGGGGGCGAACCCUGAUCCAGCCAUGCCGCGUGUGUGAAGAAGGCCUCGGUUGG
Molecule: ribosomal RNA, 384 nt
Filed under: uncultured bacterium
Lineage: Bacteria
Description: bacterial SSU rRNA
Rfam family: Bacterial small subunit ribosomal RNA
Source: RNAcentral